This 301-nucleotide ribosomal RNA is filed under the name uncultured bacterium. RNAcentral describes it as "partial 16S ribosomal RNA". It matches the Rfam family "Bacterial small subunit ribosomal RNA", at positions 509 to 807 of the family's 1533-position model. The record is from RNAcentral.
CAGCAGCCGCGGUAAUACGAAGGGUGCAAGCGUUAAUCGGAAUUACUGGGCGUAAAGCGUGCGUAGGCGGUGAGUUGAGUCUGCUGUGAAAUCCCCGGGCUCAACCUGGGAAUGGCAAUGGAUACUGGCAAGCUAGAGUGUGUCAGAGGAUGGUGGAAUUCCCGGUGUAGCGGUGAAAUGCGUAGAGAUCGGGAGGAACAUCAGUGGCGGAGGCAGCCAUCUGGGACAACACUGACGCUGAGGCACGAAAGCGUGGGGAGCGAACAGGAUUAGAUACCCCCGUAGUCCCUGUCUCUUAUAC